UCACUAGUAGAUGGACCUGCGUUGUAUUAGCUAGUUGGUGAGGUAACGGCUCACCAAGGCNACGAUACAUAGCCGACCUGAGAGGGUGAUCGGCCACACUGGGACUGAGACACGGCCCAGACUCCUACGGGAGGCAGCAGUAGGGAAUCUUCGGCAAUGGGGGCAACCCUGACCGAGCAACGCCGCGUGAGUGAAGAAGGUUUUNGGAUCGUAAAGCUCUGUUGU
RNAcentral lists this ribosomal RNA (225 nucleotides) under Streptococcus lutetiensis. Its description in RNAcentral is "partial 16S ribosomal RNA". It matches the Rfam family "Bacterial small subunit ribosomal RNA", at positions 215 to 439 of the family's 1533-position model. The record is from RNAcentral. Lineage: Bacteria; Bacillati; Bacillota; Bacilli; Lactobacillales; Streptococcaceae.